UUGUGGAAGUGUCAAAACAAAAUAUUUCAGUGUUCUGAAAAGUUUUUUGUUUCUGUUCGUUUGGGGUUUUGCCAUACAUAAAUGUAACAGUAAUGCUCUGGUUCCCUAAAAACCUCUUUCAUGCAGGAGAAAUAAGUAAUUUGCUAGGGUUGUCUUUUUUUUUUGUCUUUUUUUGGUCUUUUUUUUCCCCCUUGAGUAAUAGUAAUUUGCAUCUGUGUAAAGCAGAAAAAAUGUCAGAGCAAUGAGAUUAUUCUGACAAGUGCCUGAUAGAAGCAAGAGGAGAAUGGGAACUGACUGGCUGAUGGAACCAGACAUUACCUCUCAGCUCGAGACUCAGCUUGAUGCAGGUUGGGACUAAGCCUGCCAGCUGUCUGCUGGAUGUUUCUGUCAUUUCCAUGGCUGCAGUAAGAGCUGUAAAAUGGUCAAAUACAUCAAAUUUCUCACAGUGUCCACAAAGACUACUGAAGCUCACAGCUCUUGAAAAGGCUUUCAAGGACCCUGGAAGCCCUGAAGAUACUUGAAUGGAGCUAGGCUUUUAGACUGAACUGCAGAAAACCUCAGUUGCUGCAAAACCCACUGAAACCUAAAGUGCCUUUUUUGCUGACUGCUCCAGACUCUCAGAUCCUGGGAGCCUGUCUCAUGGCUUCAAGCCACAGCUAAACAGCAUUAUCCACCUGGAUGUUUUAACAAAGCUGGCUCUUCAGAAAGUCACAAGUCCUAGGAAGGCUGUCAUAUUCAGUCUGGAGGUUUCAUCCUUACAACAGUAUGUUUUGGGCAAAAUUUCUGCAGCUCAAUGAGUACUAAAAACUAUUCGAACACCAGGCCCAAAGUUUCAUGGUAAAACUGGACUGCAGCUUAUUAAGUUGCAUCCACCUUUAUAAUGUUGCCUGAUGUAUUUUGUUAUGUUUUCACACCACUUAUUCCAAUGGAAAAAAGAAGAGUUGGAAUAAAUACAAUGUGGGAUGAAAAGAUUGUAAACACCAAGUUGACCCAUCCCUCUUCAGCUACCUUUGUGAUUUAUGCUUAGGGCUAAUUAGUUCUAAAAAUUCCCAUAUUUUUACAUGCAGGAUUUUUUGGAAUUGCCUUUUCCUGUAGACACUGGAGUGGGAUGACUGCUCAAAUUACACAGCGUGGAGCUGGCCAACAGGUCACUGCUUUGCACAACUGACCUCCAACAGAAAGGAAACCAGCUGAAAUUUGAAUAAUGCUUCUUGGAGUAUAAGAAGUCAUUGAAACUUAAGAAACUGAAGGUCAAAAUCCAAAUGCCAUCACCCGUACUUCCAAACACCAAGAAAUGGGGAAUCCAGGCUUACCUGUGAUGUUUCACAAUGACUCAAAUCAACUUUACUGCUUCCAAAGCCUCUUUCAUGCCACUGCAGAGCGUCUGCACCUUUGGGGAGAGUCUUGUUAAGGGGACAGCUGAUGAAUAUGAAUGGAAAGACAGCAGACACAAACCAGCACUCAGGUAAGGCUGGUGUUGUUUUGCUACCCAUUAAAUGAGGAGAAAAUCUUCACAUUUCUAGGUGGUGCAGCAACAGUGCUGGAACUUGCAGAUUUGAAGCACUCAAAACUGACCUUUACAGUGGAUAUUUGGUGAAUUUCCAUGAAUGUUAAAACUCUUUUCUGAACCUCCAGAAUCCUGAAGAUUUUCCAUUGAGCAUGUGACUGUGUUUCUGUCUGUUGGAUUUAUUUUAAGAACAUGGCAGUCGAGGGGAUUGCGUAAAGUGAAGAAGCCAAGACAAGCAAGGAACAAAUCACAGCAGGCUGGAGGAGUGUCUGAGAAAAAGUUUAAACCACAAAGUGGCAGCAUUAAUGCAUCAAGAGUGGAAAGGAACCUGAGACAAAUACCUUGGAUGGUGGGAGGUGUCUGGGAGCCCUUGUGAAUGAUGGUAGACAGCAUAAGGUGUGUGGGUGCCCACUGUGAUGUUUCCCCCCAGCAGCACACGAACCAUACCCAGUCUCAAAGUCAUAUUUCCUCUUAGUUAUAGUUCAUUUCUAUCCUUCACACCCUCCUGAAAUUAUACAUUUGAAAUGGAUCCUGGUCUGUUCUAAGCAUUUAAUUCCUGGAAAGAUAUCAACACACUAGAGGGACUUUUAAGAGUGAGAAAGUGAAAGAAAAUAUUCACAAUAGGUAACAAUGGUAAUUGUAAUAACAGUGGUUACUGCCCAUUGCCCUGCAGCAAUUUCAAUGUGUUCUUACCAGACAGCCUCACAGGAUCUAUUUUUAGGGGGACAUUCUUUAUUGUGUAACAACAUGUUUGUGUAUUUAGCAAGACAUAGAAAGGAGAAAAAGGAAUGGCUGUAGGGCCUGAUGCUACAGCUUAGGAAAGGGAGAGACAAGAGGAGGAGAUAAAGUGUUUGAAAUGUUUGCGUUCAAGAAUUAUCAAAAAGAAAAAAUGUGGAAGAAAUAACAAUAAUAUUAAUAUUAUUAAUAAUGAUAGCUAUGAAAUCCCCUCCAUUUUGAAUGUGGAAAUGGUGAAUGAAGAAUUAUGGCAAGAUUAAUGAAGGUCAUCUGGGUAAAAUAAACCCUGAACUCUACUUCUGCAACAGCAGAAUUUUCAAGUUUUGCUCUCUCACUCAUAUAUCCUUCAGGAUAAAAAAAAUCUGACAGACAUUUAUCCUGGCAUCACUGAGAUCACAUUUUGAGGACAAUGGUAGAAUUGAAAAGGAGAUUAGAUCACAGUUUGGCUAACACAACCUCUGUUGUCACUGGUGUUGUGUCAGAAAGAAAGGCCCACUGUCAGAAACCAAAGUGGCUCUGAGUGAGUGGCUGUGAGGGUAAACUUGUUUUCCAUUUGUAUAAUGAGAAAAUCAAACCUGACAGUGAGAGAAGCAUAAUAACUAUAGGAGAGCAAAUCAAAACCCCUCAUACUUUGUAGAUUCACUGUUCACUAAAAUCCUGCUAGUAAGAUUUAUAAUUGCUCAAGGCUUUGUUGUUUAGACACUAAGAAGUCAUCCACUAACUCAUGUUUCAAUUUCAGGAAAAUCAAACAGAAACCAAGAAAUCUUCAUAAACUAAGGAGCACCUAAUCUCAGAACAUUAAUUCACAGCAAGAUACUUUGAUUUGAGCAUUCACAUAUUGAACUGAUCACAAAGCUCUGAAGAUAUCUGAUAAUAUGAGCAGAUUCACAUAGUUAUCUUUGUGUUGUUUGUCCAUAAAGGGUUAUUGUUAUAGAUGAGUGUGUACUAUAUUGUAAACCAUUAUCAGCUAACAGAGAUUUAGGGGGAAAUAAUAGAUUUUGAUGGAUUAAUUAUUACUUCAGGUGAUGUAACUAAUAUAGAAAUAUAGCAAGAAAUUGACUCUAUGCUCCUGAAUCCAUAUCUAAAAUUGUCACUACUUCACUGAAAACACUUAAGUUGUACUUGCAACCACUGAAAGCAGCAGACACUAUGUUUGCUCUAUUUUCAAACUACGCUUUUACCAGCAGCUGGUUUCUAAGCCUUUCCCUUAGUUCAAAUCUUGAGAUGAAGUUCUAUCAGUGCCUAUCAAAACAGGAAUGACAUUUCUGGGCAAAACUUAUUAAAGCAGUCAUUUAGCACUGUCAUCAUAUAUUAGAGAGUGAACUUUAAUUUGUCAGGUAGCAAACCUGCUUAGAAACACAACAACACAACACACUGGGUAUGAAAAUCACUUUAAUAUAACUGAUGCAGCUAAACUCAUGAGUAUACAUUGUGUUAGCAGUGUGUGCUUUGUGCCUCUAUGGAGUUUUGACUCCUCAAAAGAUGCAGCCUGUGUCUUGGCAGGGUGUGUGUAUCAAUGUGUGGAACACUUGGAUGUGGAAAACAAUCAGUUGUGACAAUCAGCCAGUCAGCAAUCUUGAACACCUUCCAUCUCUGCUCCAUUUAUGGGCAUCAGUAAAUAAAGCUCUGUUCUUAAA
Molecule: long non-coding RNA, 3879 nt
Organism: Catharus ustulatus (Swainson's thrush)
Lineage: Eukaryota; Metazoa; Chordata; Aves; Passeriformes; Turdidae
Exons: 5
Source: RefSeq, a predicted model, not a curated record